UAUAUAUUCAUUCGAAUAUACAUUUCUAACCCCUUGUCUAAACCACCUGUUGCUUCCGGCUGUUUGGGCUGUAUAGUUAGCUGUAUAGCCUGGCCGGAAGGUUAAUAUAAAUAUUGUAUUUAGAGUCUUCUGAAUUUUAAAAUAAAAGUUAAAACUUUCAACAACGGAUCUCUUGGUUCUCGCAUCGAUGAAGAACGCAGCGAAAUGCGAUAAGUAGUGUGAAUUGCAGAAUUCAGUGAAUCAUCGAAUCUUUGAACGCACAUUGCGCCUUCCGGUAUUCCGGAAGGCAUGCCUGUCCGAGCGUCAUCAAAAACCACUCAAGUAGUUUUGCUUGGUUAUGAAAGAAGAGUUUGCUUGCGAAUUCCCUUUCGAAAUUCAAUGGCGGAGGGUCUCAUGAUUCCGGUGUAGUAAUAACUUAUUCGCUUGGUCAUUGUGACAAUCCUGCCUCAAACCCCCAAUUCUAGUGUUUGACCUCGGAUCAGGUAGGGAUACCCGCUGAACUUAAGCAUAUCAAUA
This 516-nucleotide unclassified non-coding RNA is filed under the name ectomycorrhizal isolate ECM 189. RNAcentral describes it as "ITS1, 5.8S rRNA, ITS2". The stretch from base 153 to 306 matches the Rfam family "5.8S ribosomal RNA". The record is from RNAcentral. Lineage: Eukaryota; Fungi.